GAUGAAUAACGUAGCGAAAUGCGAUACGUAAUGUGAAUUGCAAAUUCAGUGAAUCAUCGAGUCUUUGAACGCACAUUGCGCCCCCUGGUAUUCCGGGGGGCAUGCCUGUCCGAGCGUCAUUGCUGCCCUCAAGCACGGCUUGUGUGUUGGGCCCCGUCCUCCGAUCCCGGGGGACGGGCCCGAAAGGCAGCGGCGGCACCGCGUCCGGUCCUCGAGCGUAUGGGGCUUUGUCACCCGCUCUGUAGGCCCGGCCGGCGCUUGCCGAUCAACCCAAAUUUUUUAUCCAGGUUGACCUCGGAUCAGGUAGGGAUACCCGCUGAACUUAAGCAUAUCAAUAAGCGGAGGA
RNAcentral lists this unclassified non-coding RNA (346 nucleotides) under soil metagenome. RNAcentral describes it as "partial contains 5.8S ribosomal RNA, internal transcribed spacer 2, and large subunit ribosomal RNA". The stretch from base 1 to 119 matches the Rfam family "5.8S ribosomal RNA", at positions 35 to 154 of the family's 154-position model. The record is from RNAcentral.